Molecule: transfer RNA, 124 nt
Filed under: Rippkaea orientalis PCC 8801
Lineage: Bacteria; Bacillati; Cyanobacteriota; Cyanophyceae; Chroococcales; Aphanothecaceae
Also listed under: 1 other name
Description: tRNA-Und (NNN) (tRNA-Und-NNN-1-1)
Rfam family: tRNA
About the family: Transfer RNA (tRNA) molecules are approximately 80 nucleotides in length. Their secondary structure includes four short double-helical elements and three loops (D, anti-codon, and T loops).
Source: Rfam by way of RNAcentral
GGCGAAGUAGCUCAGAGGUAGAGCAUCAAAAACAUCCUUAUUCACCCCUUGCCUCUUAGGCCGAAGAAUGAGGGUUAUCGAUUUACUCAUCGGAAGGACGCAGGUUCGACCCCUGCCUUCGCCA